AAUUGUGAGAGAUGAAGAAUUUCCAGUCCUGGGUAGGAUUUUGUCAGAAGAGCAAUCUCAAAGACUUGAAAGAGGCCUGGAAUUUAUUACUUUUUAAAUAAACUGGAGAUAAAUCGAAGACUUUCCUGGCUUCCUAGGAGCGUGAGGAUGAGGAAGUGCAGCAGAAGUGCACUCAUUAAUGUCAAAUAUCAUUUUGAUGGAUUGCUUUUACUAAAAACUUGACAGGUAUCAUGUUUUCCAUAAAUAUGGGAUAACAGAGAGAAUAAAAACCUGAGGAAAUCCAUAACUGGCCAGCUGUGGAGAAAUUCAUUUUGUUGUGUCAUGAUCUGAGCUCUGGAGGUUAAAGUACCCUUCCAAUUUUAACAUCCAAGCUGUUGUAGCAUGAUCAGUGUUGACACUCACAUCCCUGAGAAAGUAGCUCAAAUUUCUACAUAACAACCCAAGGGAGACCAUUAAAGGAGAAGAAAAAGCAAAACAAAACAAAAAAAAAACCCAAACCCUGGCCUUGUUCUGCUGUUUUCUGUGUCCUUCUGUCAGCAUCUAUCACAUAAAUCACCCAGCCAUUAGCAGGGAAAAGCACUGACUGGCUAUUGUUGUCUAUAAAAGUCAAGAAAAUCAAAGCAGAUUUAAAGGAGCUUCAGCCAAACGACAGGAGACCACAGCACAGCCACACAGAAACGGAAUCAGACUGCUGUGUUCAGCCAAAAAUGCCAGAAUUUCAGUGUUAUCCAGGCAAAGUCUUCUAUCUAUGAGAGGCUUCAAGACUGACUGCAGAAAAAUCCAAUUUUCCAGGAGUUACUCUUAUUUUUCAGCUUAAUAAAUUUUUUUAUGCACCAACCAUCUUCAUAAACCACCCCAUUUUUGCUACUAAAAGAGAGCUCCAAACCUGGCCAGCUUUGAACUGCAGCUCCACGUGCAAACAUCCUCAGCCAUGAGCUUGCAGGGAAGCACUCGGAUAGGAUGGAACCCAAGAGCCCCCAUCGCCAAGAAAAUCAAAUCUAGACGGAUUUUCUCUCUCACGGUGAUUUAGAAGAUGUGCCCUGUGAGGAAGAGCAGCAGAGCUGCUGGAGAGGUUAUUGUCAUCCACGGAGAAUCACGAAAUCAUUUCGGAACAGGAACGACGAGCUGCGACUUGACAGAAAUCACAGGUGGGCCCUGCAUAAAUCCCUCACCAAAAUGGCCUUGCCAACACCCUCUGAGGGGCACGAGGAGCGUUUGAGAGCCCUCAAGCAGAAGGAAGGAGGGAGAGGAGGUGCCAGGGCCGCUUGCAGAGGGCACUGGGCACUGUGGGACGCCAGCUCCUCUCCCUGGCACCAGCACACACCACCUGGCCCACGGGAAGGCACUCUGGGGACAGGCAUGAGCAGGCAGGACUGGCACGUCAGUGCUGAAAACCAGCUCGUUAAACCAAGCACCUAACUGGGAGAAUAAAAAAAAAAAUUAAAUUAAAAAAAAAUUAAAAAAAAUAAAUAAAAUCAAAUUUAAUUUAAUUUAAAAAAAGAAAGAAAAGAAGAAGAAAGGAGUUGGGAAGAAAAAUUUCCAAAGCCAAGCGUUCUCUACAUUCAGCUUGAGGGAAAGCAUCAAUUUUAGCAGAGGGAAAAUAAUAUAAAGAAAUCCAUUCUUCCCCCAAAAACGUAUCUGAGUGCAGACAUUACUCUCUUUCUGCUUCAGAGAAGCAACAUUUGGAAAACUACUUAACCUUUCUAUUUUUAUCUGGGUGCAUUCAAAUUACCAAUAAUGUACAACAUGCUGUAACAAAACCACUGAUGUAGGGUAUAAUUUUCCCUCAAGCACAUUAUCCUAGCUGGUGGCUCAGAAAAAUAAGCUGAUAAAACAGCAGCAGACAUCAAUUGAUGGAUAAAAAGCAAUCACAGCUAUGUAGAAUGUUGCUGCCCAACCUUAAAAUCAUACAAUUAGCCCAAAAAUACGAGCUGUAGGACAGGACAUACCAACAGCCAUGCAUUAGCUACAGGGUCAUCCCAAAAAUCCUCCUACAAACACAUUUUUAAGCAGACCAGCAGAUUAUUGCCUCAUAAUUUAGCUAUUAACACACAGAUUUAUUUUAAAGCCAUCAUCAUGCCUGGUACUUCUAUUAAAUAUCUUCUUCCCUGUCAAGUUCAAUCGGGAUCUCAUCCUAACCAUGAUGAGCUUUUAAUUUUCUGUGCUAUUAAUAGCAACUUAAAAAUAAAAUGUUCUCUUUUGAAGCUGUAAAGCUGUAACUUUCUUUAGGAGCUGCAAGGGGGAAGAGAGAUUAAUCUUCCUACUCUGCAUCUCUUAAGCUACAUUAGUUAUCUGCAUAUAUGGGAAAAAACCCAGGAGAGCAAGGAAGAAGCAGGAAUUUUCUCCAAGAAUCCCUCAAUGUAACUCCCUAUAAGGAUUUCUGCAGCACAGAAAUGAAGAAUUACCAAUACACAAGGAAGAAAUUCUUUAAUUGCCAGGUAGGUUCUGAAUCCUUCUCAGUGACUCUUUUUCCCCAUCAUCAAGAGAUAACAGAUUAAUGAAUGACACAAUUAGCUGCAGGAUGCACUGACUCCUGUCCAGCAAAGCCCUUCAGCAGGUACUCAAAUUUCAGCACAACUGGGGUCCUCAUUAAUUGCCCAGCAAAUGAAGAAAGAUGGGAAGCUGGAGCUGAGUCCCGUGGCCCUCUGUGACCCUCUGACACACGGAUCAGAUGCUCCCAGCUGCUCCUCCUCAGCUGCCUCCUCCCAGCAAGGGCAGCAGGGAAGGCACAAAGUUGUUCCAAGCCCUCUCUGGGCCUGCAGGAGGAAAAUUCAUGCCAAGUGCUGCACCCUCCCUUGCAGCAUCUGCUGCAGUGCUGCUUGCACUUGCAGGGAUUGACACGAGCAAGAUCAACUCCAAGGCUGCCAUCAGAACCACAGAGCCCCAGCAGCUGCACAAAAACCCAGAGAAGACUCUGGGGGGACUCAGAGCCCCCUCCCGUGCCUAAAGGAGCUCCAGGAGAGCUGGAGAGGGACUGAGGACAAGGGACGGAGUGACAGGACAAGGGGAAAUGGCCUUAAGCUGGAGGAGGGUAGAUUUUGAUUGGAUUUUAGGAAGAAAUUCCUCCCAGUGAGGGUGGGCAGGCCCUGGCACAGGUGCCCAGAGCAGCUGUGGCUGCCCCUGGAUCCCUGGCAGUGCCCAAGGCCAGGCUGGACAGGGCUUGGAGCACCCUGGGAUGGUGGAAGGUGUCCCUGCCAUGGCAAUUAGAUGGUCUCUAAUGUCCCAAAUCAUCCUGGAUUCAAUGAUUCCAUGACCUUGGGACACAACCAAGGCACUGGGCUGCUUUGAGAUGUAUUUUCUGUAACUGCCUCGAUGCUUGUGACCUUUCUUUUAGGAUAUGGGCCUUGCCACAGCUAUUGAAGCCUAUCUUUAUCUAAAGAUUGGAACACUGAAGUGAGUUUUAAUGAGGGAUAAACUGAGACCAUCUGGAUGUCUCAGCUGCUACAGAGCAUGAUUGUUUGCUGAUUUUAACCAUGGCUCUUGCAGAGAACAUAGACCUGUGUUGCACAAAGUGCACGAGCUCAGCUUGAUUUCUCCUUGUAAUCAAAUGUGUUGAUCUAAAAUCUAUUUCCAGCAAAUUACUUGUCUGUUUUGGGAACAGCUCCCUCCCCGUCUCUUCAGCACGGUGAUGGGGAUAAGCAGAGACAAUUGAGUUGAAAAGGUAUUUUUGUGAGGGUCUGACAGUGAGAGUUCCCAGUGAAAUCUUCCAUUUUGGAACAGGACUGCCAUCUGCUCACAAACUACAUGCCACGUGCCAACUCAAAUUAAAAUCCAGAAAUUUGAUUUCUUUUUUUUUUUUUCCAAGGGUCUUAUGCACUUUGUUGUUGUUGAGUUUGGUAAUUUGGUUUUGGGUUGGUUUUUUUUUGUUUGUUUGUUGGGGUUUUUUGUUGUUUUUGUUGCUGCUGGGGGGGUUUUGGGGUUUUGUGGUUUUUUUUGGUGUGGGUUUUUUUGGUUUGGUUUGUGUUUUUUUUGGUGUUUUUUGUUUUGUUGUUGUUGUUUUUUAAUAGAGAUUUGUUACAAAAAAUUGGUAAUUAAUGGUCCCAUUUGAAUGGUGGUGGCAUGGAGACAAUCUGCAUUUCUUCAUGCACGUAUUUCAAUGGUUAAGUGUUCUGACUACUGGAUAACCAUAGUGAAUUAAGCUUCAACAGAUCAAUUGUUGACCCUGUAUAUAUCCUGCAAGAUAAAUAAUGAGUUUGUUUGGGAAGGUAAAGUAAGAAACUACUCAAACCCAUCACAAAAUUAACAGUCAGCAAAAGAAACUGUGAAAAUAAUUCUGCAGAUUAAUUAUUGGAAUAGUGUCUAGACAGCUGAGAUUCGUGCUCAGUUCUCAAAUUAAACAAAACCAACAGGAGAAUGAACCCAGAUUUCCCAUGUUCCCACAGAUUUUUUCCGUGUCAGAAUUCCACAGGCACUGGAAACUCCCCAAAUUCUAAAACCUUCAGCAAACUUCAGAACUGCUUUUGGAGAGACCAGGCCUGGGUUUGGAGGUGGGGUGGAGCGAGGGUGUGAUGAUUCCACCCAAACACCUCAGCCAACAGGCACCAUUAACAAUUAGAGAACAGAACAUUCUGUUUAAUUUCGUUUAAGUGCUGUUAAUUGUGCAUUCACCAGGCAUGACACCUGUCAUGGACCUUAAAUUCCAAGCAGAUCUCAAAGUUAAAAGAGUAAAAGCAACAAGUGUUCUUGUAAGAGCUGCUCCAGGGAUAGUGAGACCAUAAGUAAUUUAGCAUAUUUUAGCAUGGUUUUUCCACCCUUUAUAAAUCUAAAUAAAGCUUCUGAAAAAGAAAUUAUCUGUUGCUUUUUACCUCUCAAAAAGUGAUCCAACACAGAAUGUUCUGGCUUUUGACUAGAUAAGGUGAUUAUUUGAAAAUUAAAUCCUAGCCUGUGCUCUUUUCCUAUCAGAGUACCAAUAAAUGCCUAAAAGGGAAUUUCUGGAAGAGGUAUCUUGAGAUGCUUGGGAUAAAUACCCCUCAAAACACCAAGAGGAGCUGACUGCUCCCAUUUAUUGGGCUCCAUCUGGUACCAGGGGACAUUCCUUUAUUGAUUUGUUGAGCUCAAAACCUUUCAGGGGCAACACAUAAAUACCUACAAAAAUUUCAGUUGGUUACAACUUUGAUUCCCACUUCUAAACCCAAAUACUUUUGAUAAUUGGAAUUCUUUGUGUCAGCCGUCACCAAUGGUCAUCCCAGAUGUGCUGGAAAGCCACGUCCCUCCCUCUGACACCAGGACCACAAAUAUUUCCCAAUAAGGGAUUCCCAAAGAAAUCUAUUCUGGCAUUAGAGGUAUGGAGGAAUCCAAUGGACCAAUAAAAUUAAAUCUCUCCCUCUACAGGCAGAAGCAGUAAUGAGGAAUUACCAAAUUCUCCAAAGAUCCAGUGCUGAACAUGCCUAAAAUAACCAAAGUAAUUAGCCAUAAUAUCAUUAACCUGUAAUAUUAUUGGUCAUAUCUGUGACUUGGUGUGUCCAAGGUGCACCAAGUUUUAAAAUAAGUCUUAAACACUGGGAUAUCCAUGAUUAAUCUGCUUGAAUCAAACUCCCUGCACUGACAUAAUACCCAAAGUGUGCAACAAAACAAAAGACAAAUCCAGUUGUUUCCAAGGUUUUCACACCCAUCAACUCCUACAUAUUUCCUAGAGAAGCAAACUCACACCUCCUGCAACAGCUUUAGUUUUCUUUGUUGUGUUUUGUGGACCCAUCUGAAAUAAUUCAGACAUCAGAAAAGUGAAAUUACCAUACUUUGAGUAACUUUAAGCCAUCUCCCAAUCUGUAUUUUUUCAAAUCAGAAAUCUUACAGAGAGAGCACCCCCACAACAAUGUCCAGAAUAAAAGGGAAUUGUCAAUUCUUUGCAUGUUUAACUA
Long non-coding RNA from Prinia subflava (tawny-flanked prinia), 5858 nucleotides. RefSeq lists it as uncharacterized. Lineage: Eukaryota; Metazoa; Chordata; Aves; Passeriformes; Cisticolidae. The record is from RefSeq and is a predicted model, not a curated record. The transcript has 4 exons.